CGACUAUCACCUUUCUCCUCCAACCCCCAUAGCCAUUACCCGAGAAGGGGAUAGGAACAAGAAAAAUUCCGGGGACAUCAGAAGAGUAAGCAAAUAGGGGAUUUGUAGGGUCAAUAGGUGGGGGAUUAACAGGGUUCACAUCCGCCAUCGGAUACAGGAUGAUAGGGAUGAAAAGAGAGAGAUACAAUAACUAUGAGCUACACUAUACAGCAACAAAGGUACAUGCAAGCCCUAAUCUAGAGGGAUAAUAGGGUUACCAGGCUUCUACGCAACCGGAGAAGAUACGGCCUUCAAAAAAUUGCAGAGAAACCCUAGCAUGUGAAGAAAACCCUAGCUUCGUUGUCAGGAAACCCUAGCUUGCAGAAAACCCGGUGGAAUCAAGUAUAAGAGAUGUCGGAAAAUCACCCUAACACCUCGUUGGAAGAAUCAACAACAAAAUAACUCCGAUUUCACCAAAAAAUCAAAGUGGUGGAAUCAAGAAUAAGAGAUGUCGGAAUAUCACCCUAACACCUCGUUGGAAGAAUCAGCAACAAAAUAACUCCGAUUUCACCAAAAAAAAUCAAAGAAAAACUCCAGAAUCUUCACCGUGAAAAAACCCAUAAAUCAGCACCGAUAACGCCAUGAACUCAGACCAAAGAAACGGGGAAGAUAGAGAGUAUGUCCAGGAGAAAUAUCCAGGCUUUGAUACCAUGUAAACAUGGUGAUUCGGAGUUGAAUCAAGGUCAUAAAGAAGAAAAUAGAGAGAUGAAGCAGAGAGAGAAAAGAGAGAGAAAUGAGAGAACAGUUCUCUGUGUAUUGAAAAA
This 803-nucleotide long non-coding RNA is filed under the name Nicotiana benthamiana. RNAcentral's name for it is "long non-coding RNA (NBEN_LNC032343)". Lineage: Eukaryota; Viridiplantae; Streptophyta; Magnoliopsida; Solanales; Solanaceae. The record is from RNAcentral.